UAUAGCUUAGAGGUGCAGCACCUGCCUGGCAAGCAUGAGGUCCUGAGUUCAGUUCCCAGUA
This 61-nucleotide transfer RNA is filed under the name Cavia porcellus (domestic guinea pig). It matches the Rfam family "tRNA", at positions 6 to 65 of the family's 71-position model. Rfam says of the family: Transfer RNA (tRNA) molecules are approximately 80 nucleotides in length. Their secondary structure includes four short double-helical elements and three loops (D, anti-codon, and T loops). Lineage: Eukaryota; Metazoa; Chordata; Mammalia; Rodentia; Caviidae. The record is from Rfam by way of RNAcentral.